GAAAAACGUUUGUGCCGGGGUCAGAGAGUGAGAGCCGGCCGCUGUGUGAGUCGUGACUGUGCCGCUGCUGCUCCUCAAGAGUAAAUGUGCAGAUCCUGAUCCCUGGUGGGACUGGUGUUCUUCAACCAUUCUACAGCUGCUACUCUGAAGAACACUUUAAAGGUCAGUGCCUGCCAAACACUGAGUUACUUUAGGCCUUUUUUUCCAAGUUACAAGAGAAAACAUGAGAGUCCAAACCACAGGCAGUGGUGCGUCAAUUAAAAAUGUUGCAUUACUGCUUUUAUACCAGCAGAG
Molecule: long non-coding RNA, 294 nt
Organism: Seriola dumerili (greater amberjack)
Lineage: Eukaryota; Metazoa; Chordata; Actinopteri; Carangiformes; Carangidae
Exons: 3
Source: RefSeq, a predicted model, not a curated record